CCCCCACUUAGUCCGGUUCGAUAUCUGGGAAAUGCAUCCGAUUUGGUUGAAUUAAGGGUUCUGGUCUUAGCUGCGCAUCAUUUUCAUUUCAUAAACCCUAAUCAACAAAACUUGGGAUUUUACACUUUGCUGAACAAGAUCGAAGCUCAGUAUAUAUACACAGAUAUAGGUAAUAGAGAAUGGGAGUGGCGAGCAAGGCAGGGGAUUGGGUAUUCAGGGCUUUCACGGCGGGGCUAGGCGUCGCCACCGUUUACCUCGGCGCCACUUUCUCCGUCAACGUUUAUCGUGGACUUAAAUGGCACAACGCCCAAACGAAGAUUGAUAAGGAGUCACCUAACGACUCUCAGAAUCAAGAAAAUCAAGAAUGAUUGCUUGUGGUUCCCAAGUAGCAACAUGAUUUUUGUAUUGAUUUAAUUUGGAGAUGGAGAUGGAGAUAUAAAUUUUGAAGCAUCUCUGAAUUACAUGAGAUUGUGCAAUAACCUCCUCCUAGCUGCUGCAGUUUCAUUUGAUGAUUAUUUUAAAAUGUAUCACUUUAUUAUGAUAUAUCUUAUGGGCUAAAAGUUGCUUUUCUGGAAGCUACUAAGUACGACUAAAAAAACUGGCUUGAAACACAGCAACGGUGUGAACCAGAAAGGUAGGAAGAUAUUGAUUAGUCAUCAAGCAUUAUUUGAAUUAUUUGAUGUUUCUAAAUUAUUAUGGAGUAUGGUGCUUGAGCCAUGUUGAAAUCAUGAGGAUUUAUGUUGCAA
Molecule: long non-coding RNA, 746 nt
Organism: Ipomoea nil (Japanese morning glory)
Lineage: Eukaryota; Viridiplantae; Streptophyta; Magnoliopsida; Solanales; Convolvulaceae
Exons: 2
Source: RefSeq, a predicted model, not a curated record